CCUACGGGGGGCAGCAGUGGGGAAUAUUACACAAUGGAGGAAACUCUGAUGUAGCAACGCCGCGUGGAGGAUGACACAUUUCGGUGCGUAAACUCCUUUUAUGUGAGAAGAUAAUGACGGUAUCACAUGAAUAAGCACCGGCUAACUCCGUGCCAGCAGCCGCGGUAAUACGGAGGGUGCAAGCGUUACUCGGAAUCACUGGGCGUAAAGCGCGCGCAGGCGGCUUUGUAAGUUGGAUGUGAAAUCCUAUGGCUCAACCAUAGAACUGCAUCCAAAACUACUUAGCUAGAGUCUGGGAGGGGAAGAUGGAAUUAGUGGUGUAGGGGUAAAAUCCGUAGAGAUCACUAGGAAUACCAAAAGCGAAGGCGAUCUUCUGGAACAGUACUGACGCUGAGGCGCGAAAGCGUGGGGAGCAAACAGGAUUAGAUACCCCAGUAGU
RNAcentral lists this ribosomal RNA (439 nucleotides) under uncultured Sulfurovum sp. RNAcentral describes it as "bacterial SSU rRNA". It matches the Rfam family "Bacterial small subunit ribosomal RNA", at positions 338 to 794 of the family's 1533-position model. Lineage: Bacteria; Pseudomonadati; Campylobacterota; Epsilonproteobacteria; Campylobacterales; Sulfurovaceae. The record is from RNAcentral.